AUGGAAAAGAGGGAGGAGUGAAAGUAAAGGGGGAAGAAAAGAGGGAGGAGUGAAAGUAAAGGGAUGGAAAAAGAGGGGGAGUGAAAGUAAAGGGGAAGAAAAGAGGGAGGAGUGAAAGUAAAGGGAUGGAAAAGAGGGAGGAGUGAAAGUAAAGGGGAAGAAAAGAGGGAGGAGUGAAAGUAAAGGGAUGGAAAAGAGGGAGGAGUGAAAGUAAAGGGGAAGAAAAGAGGGAGGAGUGUAAGUAAAGGGAUGGAAAAGAGGGAGGAGUGAAAGUAAAGGGAUGGAAAAAGAGGGAGGAGUGAAAGUAAAGGGGAAGAAAAAGAGGGAGGAGUGAAAGUAAAGGGGAAGAAAAGAGGGAGGAGUGAAAGUAAAGGGAUGGAAAAAGAGGGAGGAGUGAAAGUAAAGGGGAAGAAAAAGAGGGAGGAGUGAAAGUAAAGGGAUGGAAAAAGAGGGAGGAGUGAAAGUAAAGGGAUGGAAAAGAGGGAGGAGUGAAAGUAAAGGGGAAGAAAAAGAGGGAGGAGUGAAAGUAAAGGGAUGGAAAAGAGGGAGGAGUGUAAGUAAAGGGGAAGAAAAGAGGGAGGAGUGAAAGUAAAGGGGAAGAAAAAAAGGGAGGAGUGAAAGUAAAGGGAUGGAAAAGAGGGAGGAGUGAAAGUAAAGGGGAAGAAAAAGGGAGGAGUGAAAGUAAAGGGAUGGAAAAGAGGGAGGAGUGAAAGUAAAGGGGAAGAAAAGAGGGAGGAGUGAAAGUAAAGGGAUGGAAAAGAGGGAGGAGUGAAGAAAAGAGGGGAACAUGUGAGAAUUGAUGUAUAGAGGUAUUGGGAAGGAUUGUUGGGCAUCAUUUCCAAGUUCCUUGAGUUCUACAGUUCUACGUACUCACUCUGGUGUUCAUUGUACUGAUCUGAAAAGGAACACAACUAGAAACACAAGUUGAAACACAACUAGAAGGCUACUAUAGUUCAACUCAAAAAUGCCUAAUGUGUUGGCUAGUUUUCAUUAUUUAGUUCUCAAC
Long non-coding RNA from Cyprinus carpio carpio, 1006 nucleotides. The record is from Ensembl. NCBI's taxonomy places the organism in Eukaryota, Metazoa, Chordata, Actinopteri, Cypriniformes, Cyprinidae.